This 419-nucleotide ribosomal RNA is filed under the name uncultured bacterium. RNAcentral's name for it is "bacterial SSU rRNA". It matches the Rfam family "Bacterial small subunit ribosomal RNA", at positions 355 to 771 of the family's 1533-position model. The record is from RNAcentral.
UAAGGAAUAUUGGACAAUGGAGGCAACUCUGAUCCAGCCAUGCCGCGUGAAGGAAUAAGGCCCUAUGGGUUGUAAACUUCUUUUAGACGGGACAAAACCCCUUUACGUGAAAAGGGUUGAUGGUACUGUCAGAAUAAGCAUCGGCUAACUUCGUGCCAGCAGCCGCGGUAAUACGAAGGAUGCAAGCGUUAUCCGGAAUUAUUGGGUUUAAAGGGUGCGUAGGCGGACUAAUAAGUCAGUGGUGAAAGCCUGCAGCUUAACUGCAGAAUUGCCAUGGAUACUGUUAGUCUUGAGUACAGUUUAGGUAGGCGGAAUGUGUCAUGUAGCGGUGAAAUGCUUAGAUAUGACACAGAACACCGAUUGCGAAGGCAGCUUGCUAAGCUGUAACUGACGCUGAGGCACGAAAGCGUGGGGAGCAA